Molecule: non-coding RNA, 1903 nt
Organism: Cyanistes caeruleus (blue tit)
Lineage: Eukaryota; Metazoa; Chordata; Aves; Passeriformes; Paridae
Source: RefSeq, a predicted model, not a curated record
CUGAACUUUAAAAUGGAUGAAGUGAGAAAGAAUUUCUAGGCUGAUGGUUACUGAGAAAUAAUUAACAAAUUCAAUUCACGAUGGCUUAGUCCACAGUAGGAUGUUACAUUGAAUACAGUGCAGUUCCUCUUACAGCAUCAUGUGUCCAUGCUGAACUGCAUUCUCAAUGUUGCAUCACAAAGGACUACAUACUGUAGUAAAUGCUUGUUGUGGUGAGCUGGGCUCCACUCAAGGUUUCUUUGGGCUGAUUGCUUACAGUGCACUGGAAUUUUUAUUUCUUCCCACCUGGCUCACUACCCAUGUCCUGCUUUACUCCAGGAUCAUUCUGAGUAGAGGCAGAUGCUACAUACAUGUUGGCAGGUAGGCAAGAGUGCUGUUUUUUGUGGUAGAGGUUGUAGGAAAGUUGGUUAUAAUAAUUGAUUAGUUCUAAAGAAUCUGCCAAGGCUCUCUGACAGAGCCUACUCAGAUAUGAAUCGUUAUGGGAUGGACAGGUACAGGUCACUGCCCACAUAAAUAAAAGAGAGAAAACACACCUGGACCUGGUCUCGGGAAUGAAUCAACACAAGGGACCACAAAGGAUAUAGCAGAAGACAAAGAAACUCAACAGGAUUCUUGAUCAGUACCCUCAUACGUGCUCAGGGCUGUGGUUUUGCAAGUGACAUUGCCACCAAAUCCAGGAGUGAAUUAUUUUUCUUCUCUCAGAUGGUGCACAGUGCCACAACAGAGGCCUGAGGUAAAUGGGUUUAAAAAAAAGACCCAAAAAAACAGCAAAAAAAAAAGUCAGUAGCCUCACCUAUACUGUAGUGUCCUCCUGGCCUGGGUCUGCUGCAAAGCCCUGUGUCUCCUCAGCUGGGAGCAAUAUCCAAGAAACUGCUACAGGAUCCUGUGGAGGCUGGAGGAGGAAACUGAUCCGCACAUAAAAAAGCUGAAGCCCGUAUGAAGAAGGGAAUUAGUAGCUAAAAGAUAACCAUCAAAUUUCAGAAGAUAAACAAAAGGUGGAUCUGAACCUUGAAAUUGUCAGCUCAGCAAAGGCAGAGUGGUGAAAGGAGGGUUUCCUGGAGAACCCCCAGAAGAUUGUGAUGGAUAAUGCGUUUCUGGAAGGGGACAAGAAACAGGCAGUACAAAGGUGCUAAACCUAAACAGUUCUAACAAAACACUGGUCACGCAUUUUAUCUCCAACACCCUGCAAAACAUAGGAGAUAUGUCAGAUUGAGAUCACUACAUCAGUUGAGCUGAAGUUUUUCCUGACUACUCUAAUUCUUGUGUAUACCAUAUAGAGGAGCACUGUGCAAGACUUGCUUUGUUUUUAAGGUCAUUAUUUUUCACUGAAGAAAAUUCACCGUCAGAUAAAUCAGUAAAUAAAUCCAUUUGUCUAAACACUUGUCUCAAAAAUUAAUUGAACACACAACUAUUGCAAAAUUUAUCUCUUUACAACUUCUUAAAAAUAAAAUGAAACUAAACAUACCUUUUUGAUUGCAAACUUUUUGCUAGCCUAGAGCUGCUUUCCCACAGCGUGAAAGGAGCUCAAGCGUCUUGUUGGAGAGCACUUUAGAAGAAGACCUUCUCUGGGAUUCACAAAAGCAUCCCUCUUUCAUGUUUCCAUCUGCCCUCCAGGAUUUUUUCCCAUAAUGUGCAUGAAACAUUGAUGCAUACCAUACAGUCAUAAGACUAUUUUUAUUCCAUCUUUUUUUGUCACCAUCUUCCUUCCACCUUUCUGGAAGCCUGCCCUACUAGCAGUUUGCAGCUGUUCAAGGCAAAGUCUUGCAUGUGUUUUUCUCACAUCACUUAAUGUAGGCUUAAAAUCAGGGAAGCAGAAUCUCCUGAGUUGCUUUAAAAAAAAAAGAGGAGAGCUUGUAAGUGGCUUGGUGUUUUAGACUGUGAGAAUAAAAUUUAAGUUUCAAGA